Molecule: ribosomal RNA, 390 nt
Filed under: Diatoma tenuis
Lineage: Eukaryota; Bacillariophyta; Fragilariophyceae; Tabellariales; Tabellariaceae
Description: partial small subunit ribosomal RNA
Rfam family: Eukaryotic small subunit ribosomal RNA
Source: RNAcentral
GCUUGUCUCAAAGAUUAAGCCAUGCAUGUCUAAGUAUAAAUCUUUUACUUUGAAACUGCGAACGGCUCAUUAUAUCAGUUAUAGUUUAUUUGAUAGUCCCUUACUACUUGGAUAACCGUAGUAAUUCUAGAGCUAAUACAUGCGUCAAUACCCUUCUGGGGUAGUAUUUAUUAGAUUGAAACCAACCGCUUCGGCGUGAUGUGGUGAUUCAUAAUAAAUUUGCGAAUCGCAUGGCUUUACGCCGGCGAUGGAUCAUUCAAGUUUCUGCCCUAUCAGCUUUCGAUGGUAGUGUAUUGGACUACCAUGGCAGUAACGGGUAACGAAGAAUUAGGGUUCGAUUUCGGAGAGGGAGCAUGAGAAACGGCUACCACAUCUAAGGAAGGCAGCAGG